This 365-nucleotide ribosomal RNA is filed under the name uncultured bacterium. Its description in RNAcentral is "bacterial SSU rRNA". It matches the Rfam family "Bacterial small subunit ribosomal RNA", at positions 29 to 408 of the family's 1533-position model. The record is from RNAcentral.
AAUGAACGUUGGCGGCGUGGAUUAGGCAUGCAAGUCGCGCGACAAGGAACCUUCGGGUUCUGGAGGAGCGGCAAACGGGGUAGUAAGGCAUCGGAACGUACCCUCUUGUUGGGAAUAGCCGCGGGAAACUGCGAGUAAUGCCUAAUAAUCCCUACGGGGCAAAGGUCCGCCGCAGGAGGAGCGGCCGAUGUGAUACCAGCUAGUUGGUGAGGUAAUGGCUCACCAAGGCUUAGGCGUCUAGGGGGUGUGAGAGCAUGGCCCCCACCACUGGGACGUGAGAUACUGCCCACGACACCUACGGGUGGCUGCAGUCGAGAAUCUUCGGCAAUGGGCGCAAGCCUGACCGAGCAACGCCGCGUGCGGGA